This 604-nucleotide ribosomal RNA is filed under the name Micrometula hyalostriata. RNAcentral's name for it is "bacterial SSU rRNA". It matches the Rfam family "Eukaryotic small subunit ribosomal RNA", at positions 1220 to 1547 of the family's 1831-position model. The record is from RNAcentral. Lineage: Eukaryota; Foraminifera; Allogromiidae.
GGGUCCGGACACACUGAGGAUUGACAGGCAAAAGAUACAAGUUUUCUUUGUGAGAGCUUGCAUUGUAAAAUAUGCGAGUCCUUUCAUGAUUAUGUGAUAGGUGGUGCAUGGCCGUUCUUAGUUCGUGGAGUGAUCUGUCUGCUUAAUUGCGUUUCACAACGAUUUAAAAUGCUAUGUUUUCUGUGUUUGCUGUUCGGUUUUGCUCUUACGGGAGUUUUAACUUUGAACGCACACGGCGUAGCUUAAAACAAUCGGAAAGCAACGAACGUGACCGCAACCUCUUGUUGCCUUUAUUUUUAAAAGCGUGGAAAAUUUUAUUUUCCUACGCUUGAAAAAGGCUUUAAAACUAGAGGGACCGCUGUUCUAUUCUCUUAAACCAGAGGAAGAUUGCGGCAAUAACAGGUCUGUGAUGCCCUCAGAUGUUCCGGGCUGCACACGUGCUACAAUGAUUGUUGCAGUGAGCAUCUAUUUUCAAACGCUACCGUUGCGGAUUUUGUGAGAAGGGGGAUUUGUUUUAAAGCUUUCGGCAGAGAAGCAGGUUCUUUUUUUUCACAAUUUAUUCCGCGUUACGUGUCAGCUAAACCUGCUUCGAAAGCAAGUAGGU